UACGAAGGGGGCUAGCGUUGUUCGGAAUUACUGGGCGUAAAGCGCGUGUAGGCGGGUCUUUAAGUCCGGGGUGAAAUGCCAAGGCUCAACCUUGGAACUGCCUUUGAUACUGGAGACCUUGAGUCCGGGAGAGGUGAGUGGAAUUGCGAGUGUAGAGGUGAAAUUCGUAGAUAUUCGCAAGAACACCAGUGGCGAAGGCGGCUCACUGGCUCGGUACUGACGCUGAGGUGCGAAAGCGUGGGGAGCAAACAGG
RNAcentral lists this ribosomal RNA (253 nucleotides) under uncultured bacterium. RNAcentral's name for it is "partial 16S ribosomal RNA". It matches the Rfam family "Bacterial small subunit ribosomal RNA", at positions 524 to 776 of the family's 1533-position model. The record is from RNAcentral.